AUUGAACGCUGGCGGCAGGCCUAACACAUGCAAGUCGAGCGGAUGAAGGGAGCUUGCUCCCGGAUUCAGCGGCGGACGGGUGAGUAAUGCCUAGGAAUCUGCCUGGUAGUGGGGGAUAACGUCCGGAAACGGGCGCUAAUACCGCAUACGUCCUGAGGGAGAAAGUGGGGGAUCUUCGGACCUCACGCUAUCAGAUGAGCCUAGGUCGGAUUAGCUAGUUGGUGGGGUAAAGGCCUACCAAGGCGACGAUCCGUAACUGGUCUGAGAGGAUGAUCAGUCACACUGGAACUGAGACACGGUCCAGACUCCUACGGGAGGCAGCAGUGGGGAAUAUUGGACAAUGGGCGAAAGCCUGAUCCAGCCAUGCCGCGUGUGUGAAGAAGGUCUUCGGAUUGUAAAGCACUUUAAGUUGGGAGGAAGGGCAGUAAGUUAAUACCUUGCUGUUUUGACGUUACCAACAGAAUAAGCACCGGCUAACCUCGUG
Molecule: ribosomal RNA, 484 nt
Filed under: uncultured bacterium
Lineage: Bacteria
Description: partial 16S ribosomal RNA
Rfam family: Bacterial small subunit ribosomal RNA
Source: RNAcentral